GACGAACGCUGGCGGCGUGCUUAACACAUGCAAGUCGAACGGAGAGGCCCUGCUUUUGUGGGGUGCUCGAGUGGCGAACGGGUGAGUAACACGUGAGUAACCUGCCCUUGACUUUGGGAUAACUUCAGGAAACUGGGGCUAAUACCGGAUAGGAGCUCCUGCUGCAUGGUGGGGGUUGGAAAGUUUCGGCGGUUGGGGAUGGACUCGCGGCUUAUCAGCUUGUUGGUGGGGUAGUGGCUUACCAAGGCUUUGACGGGUAGCCGGCCUGAGAGGGUGACCGGCCACAUUGGGACUGAGAUACAGCCCAGACUCCUACGGGAGGCAGCAGUGGGGAAUAUUGCACAAUGGGCGGAAGCCUGAUGCAGCAACGCCGCGUGCGGGAUGACGGCCUUCGGGUUGUAAACCGCUUUCGCCUGUGACGAAGCGUGAGUGACGGUAAUGGGUAAAGAAGCACCGGCUAACUACGUG
This 468-nucleotide ribosomal RNA is filed under the name uncultured bacterium. Its description in RNAcentral is "partial 16S ribosomal RNA". It matches the Rfam family "Bacterial small subunit ribosomal RNA", at positions 28 to 507 of the family's 1533-position model. The record is from RNAcentral.